GGUGCUAACGUCCGGACUCAAAAGGGAAACAACCCAGACCGCCGUUUAAGGUCCCUAAUAUUAACUAAGUGGGAAACGAAGUGUGAAGGCUAAGACAGUCAGGAAGUUGGCUUAGAAGCAGCCAUCCUUCAAAGAAAGCGUAAUAGCUCACUGAUCGAGUCCUCAUGCGCGGAAGAUGUAACGGGGCUAAGUCAAUAACCGAAAGCGCGGAUUUGCACGUUAAGUGCAAGUGGUAGGGGAGCGUUCUGUAAGCCUGCGAAGGUGGUUCGAGAGGACUGCUGGAGGUAUCAGAAGUGCGAAUGCUGACAUGAGUAACGUUAAAGCGGGUGAAAAGCCCGCUCGCCGUAAGCCCAAGGUUUCCUGCUCUACGUUCAUCGGAGCAGGGUGAGUCGGCCCCUAAGGCCAGGCUGAGAAGCGUAGUCGAUGGGAAGCAGAUUAAUAUUUCUGCACCAUGUACAAGUGCGAUGAGGGGACGGAGCGUGAAUGAUCGGCCGGGUGUUGGAUGUCCCGGUUUGUGCGUGUAGAAGGCCGAUUGGCAAAUCCGUCGGCAGAUCUUCGAGACAAAGCAUCGAGGUUCUACGGAACCGAAGCGAUCGGAAGUGCUUCCAGGAAAAGCCUCUAAGCUUCAGCUUGUACGUGACCGUACCGUAAACCGACACUGGUGGGCGAGUUGAAUAUACUCAGGCGCUUGAGAGAACUCGGGAGAAGGAACUCGGCAAAUUGACACCGUAACUUCGGAAGAAGGUGUGCCCGUGUAACGAGGCAAGGGGAAACCCCUUGAGCGUGAAAGGGUCUCAGAGAAAUGGUGGCUGCGACUGUUUAUCAAAAACACAGCACUCUGCAAAGACGAAAGUCGACGUAUAGGGUGUGAUGCCUGCCCGGUGCUGGAAGAUUAAGUGAUGGGGUGAGAGCUCCUGAUCGAAGUCCCAGUAAACGGCGGCCGUAACUAUAACGGUCCUAAGGUAGCGAAAUUCCUUGUCGGGUAAGUUCCGACCUGCACGAAUGGCAUAAUGAUGGCCACACUGUCUCCUCCCGAGACUCAGUGAAGUUGAAAUGUUUGUGAUGAUGCAAUCUCCCCGCGGCUAGACGGAAAGACCCCAUGAACCUUUACUGUAGCUUUGCAUUGGACUUUGAACCGAUUUGUGUAGGAUAGGCGGGAGGCAGAGAAAGCGCAACGCCAGUUGUGCCGGAGCCGACGUUGAAAUACCGCCCUGAUUUGUUUGAGGUUCUAACCGCGGCCCGUAAUCCGGGUCCGGGACCGUGCAUGGCAGGCAGUUUGACUGGGGCGGUCUCCUCCUAAAGGGUAACGGAGGAGUACAAAGGUACGCUAGGUACGGUCGGAAAUCGUGCUGAUAGUGCAAUGGCAUAAGCGUGCUUGACUGCGAGACCGACAAGUCGAGCAGAUGCGAAAGCAGGUCAUAGUGAUCCGGUGGCUUCUGAAUGGAAGGGCCAUCGCUCAACGGAUAAAAGGUACUCUGGGGAUAACAGGCUGAUACCGCCCAAGAGUUCAUAUCGACGGCGGUGUUUGGCACCUCGAUGUCGGCUCAUCUCAUCCUGGGGCUGUAGCCGGUCCCAAGGGUAUGGCUGUUCGCCAUUUAAAGAGGUACGUGAGCUGGGUUUAAAACGUCGUGAGACAGUUUGGUCCCUAUCUGCCGUGGGCGCUGGAAGAUUGACGGGGGCUGCUCCUAGUACGAGAGGACCGGAGUGGACGCACCUCUGAUGUACCGGUUGUCACGCCAGUGGCAUCGCCGGGUAGUUAUGUGCGGAAGAGAUAACCGCUGAAAGCAUCUAAGCGGGAAACUUGCCUGAAGAUAAGUCUUCCCGGAGGCUUGA
This 1833-nucleotide ribosomal RNA is filed under the name human metagenome. Its description in RNAcentral is "bacterial LSU rRNA". It matches the Rfam family "Bacterial large subunit ribosomal RNA", at positions 994 to 2823 of the family's 2925-position model. The record is from RNAcentral.